Molecule: long non-coding RNA, 1871 nt
Organism: Lytechinus pictus (painted urchin)
Lineage: Eukaryota; Metazoa; Echinodermata; Echinoidea; Temnopleuroida; Toxopneustidae
Exons: 3
Source: RefSeq, a predicted model, not a curated record
GUCGAGCCUGCGCAUGCGCGCUGCACUGCAUGCAACUGGCGCAGUCGCAACCAUUUAAUUUGAAAAAGGAAUGCGCCCGUUUUUCGCCGUUAAAUGUUGCAGCCUAAUUUUGGAUCGAGAAUUAAGUGCGACGAAGAUGGCCGUUAAUAAUAGUUCUACUACUUUAAGAACGCGGUUCAGAUUUGGAUAACGACUUCGAAGGCAUUCGCAGGAGACCAAACAGAGAAAGAGAGGGAGACACAAAACCACCUGUCUCGGUGUCACACAUGAGGAGUUGAGGAGGAGAUGAAGUCAGUGAAUAUUACCUGGCCUUGGGGAGUUUCCAGAAGAAGGCCAAGAAUCGCUGGAUGCCAGGAGUGGAGAUCCUUCGUUGCUGCCCUACAUGAUAGGAGGCAUCGGGCAGUAGAUGCUGUAAUUUGAAACGGAAGGUGUCCUGCCAAUAAAUUUUCAUCCCACCUGAACUGCCUUGCCUGCCUGCACUCAGUCAUCUGUUCCUGAGCAUUUUCAUUUUCCUCUAUUUUUCAUCAUCGUUUGUUUCGGCCUGUAUGAAGUGAAUUUCACAUUGAUUGGUGGAGCUGCUAAGUUGGCAUUACAGGGCCGGGGUAUGAUCCUUUGGGUUGAACAUCAUGACUGCUAGUUGGUCGGCAAAGGUGAUGGGAUCGAUCAAUGUCACAUGGAGUAAGAUCGAUACCAAUCUGCUUUGCUACAUUUCAAACAAUCUCAUACGGAUACGGAUAUUAUUGCGACAGGAGUACUGCUCGAUGUGGUCAAGCCUAUUUGACAAAGCAUUAUGGUGUUAGUCAUGUUAUCAGAAACCGAUUUUUCAAAAUCACGGAGUUGCUUCAAUUUAGUAUCGAUAGAUAUUUCAAGAACGUGUAGACUAGUGAGCUUUUCAUCAAGAAUUUCACGCAAUUUAUUUUCACGCUUAUCCAUGUCAUCAUUGAGUUUUUGUCUCUCGCGUUCCAUUGCCACGGCCACCGCUCUUUGAACGACUGUAUCAAUAUGAUCUAGGUAUGCUGGGCUUUGUUUAGAUCCAGUUAAUGAUGAAGCAGAGGAUUGUGUACAUGCAUUAGCCGAGUGCAAGCGGCCUCUUGAUCUGGUGGAUAUCUUAGACAUGUUAGAGAUUACGUAAUUAUAUAAUUGAAAAGUGGGAUGGGCUGUGCAUCUGCCAACUCACCAGUCAACCAAUUAGAGAUGGCCUUCCAAAGUGACACAGCACGAAAAUAUCAAUAUGGGACUGGUCUAGUCAACACAUAGAUCCUGAAAAAACCAUGGAGACUGCAGACGCAAAAUGACUUCCAUACAUAAAGAUAUGAUGCACAAUUUCCAGUGGGUUCAAAACACUGAACACAUGCUAUGCUGAUACACAGACUAUCAUAAGAACUUUAUCAAGCAAAGGAAAUCUGGUAUGAAAUCUCUCAGCUCACAUAAAAAGCCUACGUAGCUACAUGCAGGGAAGAAAAUGCGUAAUUGCUGAGAAAUGAGCAAAAUAAGCAUGUAAUUCUAUCAAAUGUCAGGUAUUUUUCGAAUCGAUUAUAAUACACAGUCCCACAUAUGCUUUUCUGUGUUUACAGCGAUCACCAGAAUUAUCGAUUUUAAGUUAAAAAAUUCAUGAUUUUACAAAGAUACAAGUUUACAUUAAUGUACCAGAUGUAGAUUAUGUACAACAUAUUGACAAUUAACUUUGAUUUUAUAGAUUUUCUCAAGAAAUAAUUGUUUGCUGCAACUACUGUCUUUUCCUUCUAAGUGAUAGUGUAAUACAACAGUUCCACAAACUAUUUUCAUCAGACUUAUUGAUGCAUGAUUCUUUCACCCAAAUGCAAGCUUCCAUAAAUCCUGAAAACUUUGCAACUCAGGUAUUUUUUUUUUUA